Molecule: long non-coding RNA, 319 nt
Filed under: Sorghum bicolor (sorghum)
Lineage: Eukaryota; Viridiplantae; Streptophyta; Magnoliopsida; Poales; Poaceae
Description: long non-coding RNA (SBIC_LNC016956)
Source: RNAcentral
GCGGAUGCUUCAUUGGCUAAGAGAGGGCGUGGGAGGCCCAGAAAGGAGAAGGCAUUGGAAACUAGCCACUUGAAAGCCGCACAGAUGACUGAGGGUCAACUUGAAGCUCUGACUGCACAAGCUGCAGACCAAGCUGAGGCUGUCCAAAAUGAAGUUGAAGCUAGGGAUUUGCAAUCCUUGGGUACUUCUUUGACAGAGAAGAAAAUGACUGAGAGUCAACAGGAAGCUCUGACUGCACAAGCUGCAGACCAAGCUGGGGCUGUGCAAAAUGAAGUUGAAGCUACGGAUUUGCAAUCCUUGGGUACACCUUUGACAGAGA